GAUGAAGAACGCAGCGAAAUGCGACAAGUAAUGUGAAUUGCAGAAUUCAGUGAAUCAUCGAAUCUUUGAACGCACAUUGUGCCCCUUGGUAUUCCGAGGGGCAUGCCUGUUCGAGCGUCAUUAUAACCCCUCAAGCUCAGCUUGGUGUUGGGGCCUGCUGCACUGGCAGCCCUUAAAAUCAGUGGCGGCGCCAUCUGGCUCUAAGCGUAGUAAUUCUUCUCGCUAUGGAGUCCUGGUGGAUGCUUGCCAUCAACCCCCAAUUUUUCUAUGGUUGACCUCGGAUCAGGUAGGGAUACCCGCUGAACUUAAGCAUAUCAAUAAGCGGAGGA
This 329-nucleotide unclassified non-coding RNA is filed under the name soil metagenome. RNAcentral describes it as "partial contains 5.8S ribosomal RNA, internal transcribed spacer 2, and large subunit ribosomal RNA". The stretch from base 1 to 120 matches the Rfam family "5.8S ribosomal RNA", at positions 35 to 154 of the family's 154-position model. The record is from RNAcentral.